RNA transcript from Rhineura floridana, 4042 nucleotides. RefSeq lists it as uncharacterized. NCBI's taxonomy places the organism in Eukaryota, Metazoa, Chordata, Lepidosauria, Squamata, Rhineuridae. The transcript is spliced from 2 exons. The record is from RefSeq and is a predicted model, not a curated record.
AGACUGCACACCAGCUAGAAAGGAGAGCAGGAUACGAAACCUGUGGUGUAGAGCUGAAAAAUGGGCAGGAAGACUAAUUCACCGAGCCCAGAAGAAAUGCCUGAAGCAUGCCAAAGUGCGUAGCAUCAUCACCUCUCCGGAAACUGAAAAUCAGGGAGAGGGGGAAGGUGAGACGGCAGCUAAUCCUCUCUCAGAGAAGGGAGAGUGCCAGGAAAAGAGCGUCUCUGGAGAGGAAAAGGAGACCCCAUAUGAGGAAGAAAAUGCCCCGUCUGAUCGACAGCUGCAAGGGGGUAAGAGUGGCCCAGGAGUCCAGCUGCAGGGCACCCAGAAUGGGCAGCUGGAGGGAGAAGACUAUGAAAAGUGGCAGUCAGCAGCAGAGGAAGAUGAAAAAGAAACUGUGUUCAUCCUGGAGCCUGCUGGGGGACAGGACAGCAAAGAGCUGGAAAUCAAGCCCCAAGUGUUGAAGAAAGAUGAAGCUCCCUAUGAGGAGAUGGGAGCCCUGCCGGAGCCCUGGCAGCAAAGGGGAGAGAUAUGUGAGAGCCUCUCUAGAGAAAGAGACCCCCUGUGAGGUGGCAGCCUUAUCUGUGCAGCUACGGCAAGAGAUCAAAAGUGACCCAGAGGUCCAGCUGCAGAGCACCCAGCCUGGGGUGGCUGAAGAGGCCCAGAUGGUGAAUGAGCAGCUGGAGGGGGUGGAGGAAGAAGAAGAAGCCAUGAGUAUGCCAGCACCUGCCAGGGAGGAGGACUGCGGACAGCUGGAAGGAAAUCCCCUGGUAAGGGAAGAAACUUUAGAGCAAGUUCAAGUAGGGGCUGAAGAGGAAAUGCUACCGAUGAAUUCCUCUGCUCCGUGCGAGAAAAUACAGGCGAAGGAAUGUGUGGGAGAUGGGCAGCUGCUGCCAGCUCCCUUCACUCUGUGUGCUAGAGAAACAGAUCAGGGAGAGGGAGGGGCAUGCCCACCAGAUCUUUGCGUUCUGUGUGCUCCUGUUACAGAGACAGUGCCGAAAGAAAAGCUGGAGGUGUGUGUGCCUGCUGCAAAAGGGAAGAAGCAGGUGGGAGUUCAAGUCCAAGCGGAGCUCCCAGUGCCUGCAGAGAAGGGUGAGUUAAAAUCCUCCAGUGACAUUGCCCCUGGGAUGCUCCGUGAUGAUCCCAUAAAGGGAGAAGCAAGUCCUAUGAUGGGGGUAGUGCCCGGGCGCAUUCCAGCCGUAACAAGCACCCCGCGCCCUGUGAAGGUUAAAAGGCACAGGGAGGGUUGUCUACAUUUGUUUGAGCCUCUGAGUUAUUGUGGAAAAGGGCAAAAGCAAUUUCUCGCUGCCGACCUGGGAGGGUUGGGGCAGCUAAUUGCAAAGAAGAUUCCCCCCGAUAAAGUUGCCUACCAGCUGGAAGACCAAACUUUCUCUUGGGCAGAAGAGCAAGGUCAGCCAAGUCAGGGGGUGGAAUGGUGUGCUGUUUGGGCAGUGAUCACAGGUGAGACAAGAGUGUCCCUGCAUGUCUACAUAAGCCCCUGGGCAAAGAGUAAAGAAGUAAAGAAAUGGGCAGAAGAGAAAAGAGUGGCUUGGCUCUACCCUCCAAGAGCAGCCGCCCUAAUCGAAAGAACCAGCGGUCUGAAACAGCAAAUCAAACUGCUGGCAGGCAAGGCAGAGGGGAAGCACUGGAAAGGAAGCAAUAUGGAAGCAGCGUCACCCAUGGAGCGGCUUGUGAAUCCUCCUUCGCUUCAGGAAGCAGGGGGGUACGUGCGGGCACAGCUGCUGAAAGUCGUUGGCUUAACAGCAGAAGAGAUCCCUGGACGGCCUCUUCAACAGAAGACCUGCCGCGCGCUGCCAAGGAAACACAGCGGUUCCUGGAGAGGAAUCCUGGCACCCUGCCAGUGGCCGAAGAAAUCGGCUUGAACUAGAACCUCCUGAAACUCACGAUGGGGAAGAGCCAUGUGGGCGAAGUUAUGCACAUGAAACUGCAUGCUGGUUUUUCUGAUACAGCUCACUACAUGCUUGGAUAAUCUGCUGCCUUUCAUUGGUCCGGACAGCGUCUGAAGUUAACUCAGCUAUAGCCUGGCCAAGCUGGAAAAUCUGCUCAUCGAUAUCUCAUCAUGCUGAUUUUAAUAAAAGCUUGUUGUGUGCGUUUUAUGAUUUUCUAAAUGAGACCAAACAAUUGCAAAAAUCUUUACAGUCAGUGGUUACCCCACAGGAUACUGAGAAAGGGCUCAAAUGGUUUGACGUGAGGGCCACCCAAGCCAGAGCAGUUAGAGUAGGUACCCACAAGUCCAAUGCCACUGUCAGGAUUAGAGGGGGGGUUGGGCAGUUGUUUGAUGGGCUAGGGUGGAUCACCCCUUUAAGAGUAAAUGCCCCACCACAGCCUGAAGUCUGUUGGGAACAAGUAAAGCAUAAUAGAACUGCAGCUACGUUUCAAAGACGAGUGGGUUUUAGCAGAGGAUGUCAAACAGUGCACAAGUGUCCCAAUCCUACUGAUAGUGAGCAAGGCUGGAUAUGUACUAGUUGGACCCUACGACCUGGCAUUAAUUGAGGAGCCCCUAAUGGAAGUUACGUUCUCUGGGAUUGUUAUGGGGACCCCAUAGAUUUGAAAAAACCCUAGAAAGUCCUCUUGUAGGAAAUUACAGAGCUUGGAAGGUCAGAUGGCAAAGAGACAUUUUCAGCUCAGCUGAGUAUGCUUGGGCCCUGUUUCCCAGUGGAGGGGUGGCUAAAGUAAACAUUUUUGGAAGAGCAAUGGAAGUAGCUUUAAAUGCCACAGUUCUGGCCCUAGUAGCUAUAGGGAUAGGAAUGAUAAACAUGAGAGCAGUAAUCCUAUAGAAUAAAUUCGCCCUAACUGUGAGCAUGGGGGGGAACAACAAAAAUGUUGUAUGUAUAUUCCAGAUAAAUAAAGUAUAGUAAAUUAUAGUGUAGCAGUAUUAUAUAGACAAAGUAAUAAAAUAAAGCAUUUGGAAGAAGAUUCUUUCUUAAAUCCUAUUUUAGAGUGGUUUCAGGGAAUAGGUGGCUGGUGAAAACAAUUAUUCUCCAUUGGGAUCACUCUUAUUUGUGGUGUUAUAUUAAUCUGCAUAUGUUUGUCUUGCUGGCGUAGUUUUAAUGGGUAAAUAGUUAAGACUACCCUUGGGGGUCAACCGACAGGGCAAAAGAAGAACCAGCCCCUUUCUGGGGUAAGAAGACCUCUGUAACGCGAAGCAUUGACGUCCUUUGACCAUCCAGGGGUGGAAUGUAUACCUUGUGCCAGCUAAUGAUUUUAAGCAAGCUGUUAUAGCCUUAAGUUAAUCAAUAUAUAUUCAAUAUGUAUUUGUUAGCAAAGCCUGGAGGCUUGUAUUCCCCUUUCAGGCCCCAGCAUCUUUGGGUAUGUCAGAUCACCUCAUAGCCACCUGCAGUCUAAUCUAGGUGUUUUAAUGAGGAUAUGAUGGCUUGCCCAGUAUGAUGCUGGGAAUGUACCUUGUUAGUUAGAGAAAUAUCAAAGGAGUUUAAUUAGGCAUAUGUUUAAGUAUAUGUUUAUUAGUAGGCAGUUUAUAGUUGGCUUGCCUAGUAUGGUGUUGGAAAGCACCUUGUUAGACUUCAGAGAGUCCUGAUAGGCAUAGAUUCCAUGGAUGGGUCGAAGGACGGUCAAUGACACGAGUCAAGUAACGGUCAAAGAGAACUUUGCUUGUUAGUAAAGAUGAAGAUAAAGAUGGUAGCCAUAUAGUUUGCCAAAAGAAGAUGUCAAGGUGUUCCAAGAAAGAUAUUAUAGUUUUUUAGCAAUUAGUCUGCUUUAAAGGUGUUCUGUGAAAAGGUCAGAACUGCCAAUUAUAUGCAACAUAUGUUACUUCAAAGUGUAUAAUCUCAUUAAUCAUGUAUGUAACUCCAUGUGUAUGCCAAUGAUAUGUGCCAAGAUUUAUACUAUAUAAGCAUGAUCUGUGCCCAGCAUGAGUGUUCAGUCUCUGACGUCCACUACUGCAGAGCGGUGGGACUGAUCCACUUUUAUUGGGAAUACUUGGCUGAAUGCUGUAAGUUACUCAAUAAAUUUUAACUCUUUGUAAGCAAACCUCUUGUCUGCAUUUCAUCUCUGGUAAUCCAAA